Molecule: ribosomal RNA, 430 nt
Filed under: uncultured Acidobacteriota bacterium
Lineage: Bacteria; Pseudomonadati; Acidobacteriota
Description: bacterial SSU rRNA
Rfam family: Bacterial small subunit ribosomal RNA
Source: RNAcentral
UGGGGAAUUGUUCGCAAUGGGCGCAAGCCUGACGACGCAACGCCGCGUGGAGGAUGAAGGUCUUCGGAUUGUAAACUCCUGUUGGGUGGGACGAAUCCUUCCCGGGCUAAUACCCCGGGGAAAUGACGGUACCACCUGAGGAAGCCCCGGCUAACUCUGUGCCAGCAGCCGCGGUAAUACAGAGGGGGCGAGCGUUGUUCGGAAUUACUGGGCGUAAAGGGCGCGUAGGCGGCCGACUAAGUCAGACGUGAAAUCCCCGGGCUCAACCCGGGAACUGCGUCUGAUACUGGUUGGCUGGAGUCCGGGAGAGGGAAGCGGAAUUCCAGGUGUAGCGGUGAAAUGCGUAGAUAUCUGGAGGAACACCGGUGGCGAAGGCGGCUUCCUGGACCGGUACUGACGCUGAGGCGCGAAAGCCAGGGGAGCAAACGGG